AGUUAUUUAGUUUAUAUAAAACAGAUAUUUUGAAAAUAUCAAAUAAGAAAAAUUCUUAGUAACUG
RNAcentral lists this transfer RNA (65 nucleotides) under Daldorfia horrida. Its description in RNAcentral is "tRNA-Ser". The record is from RNAcentral. Lineage: Eukaryota; Metazoa; Arthropoda; Malacostraca; Decapoda; Parthenopidae.